RNAcentral lists this ribosomal RNA (558 nucleotides) under uncultured bacterium. RNAcentral's name for it is "bacterial SSU rRNA". It matches the Rfam family "Bacterial small subunit ribosomal RNA", at positions 98 to 688 of the family's 1533-position model. The record is from RNAcentral.
GCGCACGGGUGAGUAACACGUGAAUAAUCUACCUCCGAGUGGGGAAUAACCUAGAGAAAUCUUAGCUAAUACCGCAUAAUACCCACGGGUCAAAGCAGUAAUGCGCUUGGAGAGGAGUUCGCGGUCGAUUAGCUAGUUGGCGGGGUAAUGGCCCACCAAGGCGAUGAUCGAUAUCCGGCCUGAGAGGGCGCACGGACACACUGGAACUGAAACACGGUCCAGACUCCUACGGGAGGCAGCAGUGGGGAAUUCUGCGCAAUGGGGGAAACCCUGACGCAGCAACGCCGCGUGGAGGAUGAAGUAUCUUGGUACGUAAACUCCUUUCGAUAGGGAAGAUAAUGACGGUACCUAUAGAAGAAGCCCCGGCUAACUUCGUGCCAGCAGCCGCGGUAAUACGAGGGGGGCAAGCGUUGUUCGGAUUUAUUGGGCGUAAAGGGUGCGUAGGCGGUUUGGCAAGUCUUAUGUGAAAUCUUCGGGCUCAACCCGAAGCCUGCAUAAGAAACUGCCGGGCUUGAGUAUGGGAGAGGUGAGUGGAAUUUCCGGUGUAGCGGUGAAAUG